RNAcentral lists this ribosomal RNA (252 nucleotides) under uncultured bacterium. Its description in RNAcentral is "partial 16S ribosomal RNA". It matches the Rfam family "Bacterial small subunit ribosomal RNA", at positions 524 to 776 of the family's 1533-position model. The record is from RNAcentral.
UACGGGGGGGCAAGCGUUGUUCGGAAUUACUGGGCGUAAGGGGCUCGUAGGCGGCCAACUAAGUCAGACGUGAAAUCCCUCGGCUUAACCGGGGAACUGCGUCUGAUACUGGAUGGCUAGAGGUUGGGAGAGGGAUGCGGAAUUCCAGGUGUAGCGGUGAAAUGCGUAGAUAUCUGGAGGAACACCGGUGGCGAAGGCGGCAUCCUGGACCAAUUCUGACGCUGAGGAGCGAAAGCCAGGGGAGCAAACGGG